Molecule: ribosomal RNA, 253 nt
Filed under: uncultured Bdellovibrio sp.
Lineage: Bacteria; Pseudomonadati; Bdellovibrionota; Bdellovibrionia; Bdellovibrionales; Pseudobdellovibrionaceae
Description: partial 16S ribosomal RNA
Rfam family: Bacterial small subunit ribosomal RNA
Source: RNAcentral
UACGAAGGUCCCAAGCGUUGCUCGGAAUCAUUGGGCGUAAAGCGGGUGCAGGUGGCUCUGUAAGUCAAGAGUGAAAGCCCAGGGCUUAACCCUGGAAGUGCUUUUGAUACUGCAGAGCUUGAGUGUGAGAGAGGAUGCUGGAAUUCCUAGUGUAGUGGUGAAAUACGUAGAUAUUAGGAGGAACCCCGGUGGCGAAGGCGGGUAUCUGGCUCAACACUGACACUUAGACCCGAAAGCGUGGGGAUCAAACAGG